GGGGUCGACCGGAAUUGACAGUAAGUGUACACUGUAUGCCGGCAUGUCGGGUGUUGAAUGAGCACACGUAAUCAAUUCAUUCACUAUGAUAAUUGGCGAGUCUAACUACGCUAUGGCAGCCUAAUUCUUAAAUAAAGUAAAGAAUUAUCAGGGUUGAGCUUUAUCGGUUCCCCCUGCCACAUCCUGCUGUUCUUUUGUCCUUGAGAACAGUGCUUAGGGUGUCGUAACAAGGAAUAAUCCGGAGUAACGCCGCAGGCUUCGGGUGAAAUUUAGCGGCUGGCAUUUUAGGUGGGUAGUUGUUCGCCAGCCUGGAGUGUGAGAUAAAGAAGAAUAACUAAGCAUGUAGAAGGCCUAUGGAUGCCUUAGCUGGACGAGGGUUCGAAUCCCUCCGACUCCACGA
Molecule: transfer-messenger RNA, 400 nt
Filed under: Ekhidna sp.
Lineage: Bacteria; Pseudomonadati; Bacteroidota; Cytophagia; Cytophagales; Reichenbachiellaceae
Rfam family: transfer-messenger RNA
About the family: Bacterial tmRNA, also known as 10Sa RNA or SsrA, is named for its dual tRNA and mRNA-like properties.
Source: RNAcentral